This is a non-coding RNA of Aedes albopictus (Asian tiger mosquito), 58 nucleotides long. NCBI's taxonomy places the organism in Eukaryota, Metazoa, Arthropoda, Insecta, Diptera, Culicidae. The record is from Rfam.
UAGCCUAGUGGUUAAGGCUAUGGAUCACCAAUCCGGACACGGCGGGUUCGAUUCCCGU